UACGAAGGGGGCUAGCGUUGCUCGGAAUCACUGGGCGUAAAGCGCACGUAGGCGGAUUGUUAAGUCAGGGGUGAAAUCCUGGAGCUCAACUCCGGAACUGCCUUUGAUACUGGAGAUCUUGAGUCCGGGAGAGGUGAGUGGAACUCCGAGUGUAGAGGUGAAAUUCGUAGAUAUUCGGAAGAACACCAGUGGCGAAGGCGGCUCUCUGGGACGUGACUGACGCUGAGACGCGAAAGCGUGGGGAGCAAACAGG
RNAcentral lists this ribosomal RNA (253 nucleotides) under uncultured bacterium. RNAcentral's name for it is "partial 16S ribosomal RNA". It matches the Rfam family "Bacterial small subunit ribosomal RNA", at positions 524 to 776 of the family's 1533-position model. The record is from RNAcentral.